AUACGGAGGAUGCGAGCGUUAUCCGGAUUUAUUGGGUUUAAAGGGUGCGUAGGCGGGCUGUUAAGCGUGAGGUGAAAGCUCGGGGCUCAACCCCGGAACUGCCUCGCGAACUGGCGGUCUUGAAUGGCCGUGCCGUGGGAGGAAUGGGUGGUGUAGCGGUGAAAUGCAUAGAGAUCACACAGAACACCGAUUGCGAAGGCAUCUCACGAACGGAUGAUUGACGCUGAGGCACGAAAGCGUGGGGAUCAAACAGGAUUAGAUACCCUGGUAGUCCACGCGGUAAACGAUGAAUACUAGCCCUGCGGCGCGAAUGGGUGCUGCGGGGCAGAGUGAAAACGUUAAGUAUUCCACCUGGGGAGUACGCCGGCAACGGUGAAACUCAAAUGAAUUGGCGGGG
RNAcentral lists this ribosomal RNA (397 nucleotides) under uncultured bacterium. RNAcentral's name for it is "partial 16S ribosomal RNA". It matches the Rfam family "Bacterial small subunit ribosomal RNA", at positions 523 to 918 of the family's 1533-position model. The record is from RNAcentral.